UACGUAGGGUGCGAGCGUUGUCCGGAAUUACUGGGCGUAAAGAGCUCGUAGGUGGUUUGUCGCGUUGUUCGUGAAAACUCACAGCUCAACUGUGGGCGUGCGGGCGAUACGGGCAGACUGGAGUACUGCAGGGGAGACUGGAAUUCCUGGUGUAGCGGUGGAAUGCGCAGAUAUCAGGAGGAACACCGGUGGCGAAGGCGGAUCUCUGGGCCUUACCUGACGCUCAGGCGCGAAAGCUAGGGGAGCGAACAGG
RNAcentral lists this ribosomal RNA (253 nucleotides) under uncultured bacterium. RNAcentral describes it as "partial 16S ribosomal RNA". It matches the Rfam family "Bacterial small subunit ribosomal RNA", at positions 524 to 776 of the family's 1533-position model. The record is from RNAcentral.